This 500-nucleotide ribosomal RNA is filed under the name uncultured bacterium. RNAcentral describes it as "partial 16S ribosomal RNA". It matches the Rfam family "Bacterial small subunit ribosomal RNA", at positions 30 to 523 of the family's 1533-position model. The record is from RNAcentral.
AUUAAACGCUGGCGGAAUGCUUUACACAUGCAAGUCGAACGGCAGCACGGACUUCGGUCUGGUGGCGAGUGGCGAACGGGUGAGUAAUACAUCGGAACGUGCCCAGUCGUGGGGGAUAACGUAGCGAAAGCUACGCUAAUACCGCAUACGAUCUAAGGAUGAAAGCGGGGGAUCGCAAGACCUCGCGCGAUUGGAGCGGCCGAUGGCAGAUUAGGUAGUUGGUAGGGUAAAGGCCUACCAAGCCGACGAUCUGUAGCUGGUCUGAGAGGAUGAUCAGCCACACUGGGACUGAGACGCGGCCCAGACUCCUACGGGAGGCAGCAGUGGGGAAUAUUGCGCAAUGGGCGAAAUCCUGACGCAGCGACGCCGCGUGGAGGAUGAAGGUCUUAGGAUUGUAAACUCCUGUCAGGUGGGAAGAAAAGCUUAUUUCUAAUAAAUAUAGGUAAUGACUGUACCAUCAGAGGAAGCACUGGCUAACCUCGUGCCAGCCGCCGCAGUAA